Molecule: ribosomal RNA, 445 nt
Filed under: bacterium
Lineage: Bacteria
Description: bacterial SSU rRNA
Rfam family: Bacterial small subunit ribosomal RNA
Source: RNAcentral
GCAGUCGAGCGGACCGACGGGAGCUUGCUCCCUUAGGUCAGCGGCGGACGGGUGAGUAACACGUGGGUAACCUGCCUGUAAGACUGGGAUAACUCCGGGAAACCGGGGCUAAUACCGGAUGCUUGAUUGAACCGCAUGGUUCAAUUAUAAAAGGUGGCUUUUAGCUACCACUUACAGAUGGACCCGCGGCGCAUUAGCUAGUUGGUGAGGUAACGGCUCACCAAGGCAACGAUGCGUAGCCGACCUGAGAGGGUGAUCGGCCACACUGGGACUGAGACACGGCCCAGACUCCUACGGGAGGCAGCAGUAGGGAAUCUUCCGCAAUGGACGAAAGUCUGACGGAGCAACGCCGCGUGAGUGAUGAAGGUUUUCGGAUCGUAAAACUCUGUUGUUAGGGAAGAACAAGUACCGUUCGAAUAGGGCGGUACCUUGACGGUACCUAACC